Long non-coding RNA from Falco peregrinus (peregrine falcon), 1326 nucleotides. RefSeq lists it as uncharacterized. NCBI's taxonomy places the organism in Eukaryota, Metazoa, Chordata, Aves, Falconiformes, Falconidae. The transcript is spliced from 3 exons. The record is from RefSeq and is a predicted model, not a curated record.
GAUUUACUCUUCUUCCACUUGUACUUUGUCUGGGCAGCUUACCCCUUGUGCCAACUGUUCCCUUUUUUAAAAUCUAGCUAACAUGUUACCAGAACUUCAUGGUGUCUUUGCAAGAAAAAAGGUGGCCAGUCCAAAGUCUGGAAAAAAUCAAAAAAGCCGUGACCUUAUUUAGCUUCUGUGACAGUCAGUGUGUGCAGCAUUGAGCCUGUCAGCUGCAGGUACAUAUUGCCUUACCAAGCUUAUCUGAAGCAGAAAAUGAUGCUUUUGAUUCUGCUUCUCAUUCCUGGUACAUGAAAGAAUCACAGGGAAGUUACUUAACCUUCCUUCCCGCUGCACACACUGUACCCAAAAAGCAGUUGUAAUGCUUUUCAGAUGGAUUUUGGAAUGAAAAAAGAAUCUUAUAAUUGAUAAAUAAGAGACCUCUUCUUCCAGGGAUGCUAAUGUGUAGAUAAAGAUAAUAAUCUCUGGAUAGCUAAUCCCAAAAGUAGACGAGACUGCUGCAAGGGUUUUCUGGAGCUGAGUUGCUCCAUGUGACAAGACUAUGGCUUUUUUAGAUGAACUGUCUCUACUGUAGUCUGCCUCCGUCCCUCACAGCGUAACUCACACUUAGCCUUCUAAACGGUGCCAACAACUAUUGAUGUGGAUGGGCAGUUUGUGUAUAGGAGGAAUCUUAAUUUUUUUGUAUCAUGAAAUGAGAUGCCUGGAGAAAAGAACGUAUAAGAAGAACUGUCUAUUACCUCAUGUUUUCUAUAAUCUUCUCAGUUUACAAAUGUUGGGACAAGUGGGAGAAGCGUACGUCUGAUAUUACCAGUCUGUAAAUGGACCUUACUGGUACCUGCUGCUGCUCCUCCUCUGUGAGAUCUUGUGCAUCUGGCUCCCACAUCCAUCCCAUGUAUGCCGAAUCUGUCUGGUACAAGAUUUUUGAGAUUGAAGAGUACCAUAAAGAGAAUACCAGCUUGGUUGUGUCAAGUGUGUGCAGGGUUUGGAGCACGCUAUGUUUUAAGUCACUUCAAGUAGGAAGUAGGCACUGAUACAGAACACAGAAAGGAAAGCAAGAGGCAGCAGCGAUAGGCUUGACUUCAUCUGUGGAGCACAGGAUUUGAAAUGACAGCUCUUUCACUUCUGACAGCACUGCCCUCUGCAAGUCAUCAUUUCUUAGCUUUUUUGGCUAGACCUCGAGGCCAGAGUGGAAAGAAGUGGCCAGUGAUGGAACGACAAAUGCAGCAACGAGCUGUUAUUUCAUACCAUCUCCAGCUGAAGGCAGUCCUCACUACACCAGUCGUACUGACAAAUGUUCAAAGGAAUGGUAGUCACAAAGGCUGGAAA